GCUUUCAUGUGACUCAGUUGGUAGAGCAUUGCACUAACACCGCAAAGGUUGUAGGUUUAAAUCCCAGGGGAACCA
Molecule: non-coding RNA, 75 nt
Organism: Danionella cerebrum
Lineage: Eukaryota; Metazoa; Chordata; Actinopteri; Cypriniformes; Danionidae
Source: the annotation of a GenBank genome assembly